This 596-nucleotide long non-coding RNA is filed under the name Pan troglodytes (chimpanzee). Its description in RNAcentral is "long non-coding RNA NONPTRT006408". The record is from RNAcentral. Lineage: Eukaryota; Metazoa; Chordata; Mammalia; Primates; Hominidae.
UCUUCUUUGUGAAACCUUAUUACUACAGAUGGUAUAUUUACUAUACAUACAUAUACAUAUGUAUAAUAUACAUGUCUUAUCUAUGAUAUAUAACAGUAUAUGAUGUAUAUGCACAUAAAUAAUAUAUCCAUUUUAUACCUGUGAACUGAACAUUUGUUUCUGUUCCCCCCAAAUUCAUAUGUUGAUAGAACCCUAACCCCCAUUGUGGCAGUAUUUGGAGAUGGGCCUCUCCUUAGGAAGUUAAGGUUACGUGAGGUCAUGAGGAUGGAGCUCUGAUGUGAUAGGAUGAGGAUCCUUAUAAAAGGAGACCGUGUAUGCUCCCUAAUCCCCACCCUCCAGGUACAUGCCCCAAGGAAAUGAGGCUACAUGAGGACACAGCAAGAAGGUGGCUGUCUGCAAGCCAGCAAGAGAGCCCUCCCCAGAAACUGAACCAGCUAGAACCACGGUCUUGGACUUCCAGCCUCCAGAACCGUUGGAAGGUUCUCCUUUGAGAACGCACUGCCGCAGUGGUGAUCUCUGGAACAGGUGGAUAGGUGUGCACUAAAUAAAGCAAGCAGAAGAAGAUGUGCUGGGAGAAUCUUGGUGACGGGGCAAAG